Molecule: unclassified non-coding RNA, 334 nt
Filed under: soil metagenome
Description: partial contains 5.8S ribosomal RNA, internal transcribed spacer 2, and large subunit ribosomal RNA
Rfam family: 5.8S ribosomal RNA (bases 1-120)
Source: RNAcentral
GAUGAAGAACGUAGCGAAAUGCGAUAAGUAGUGUGAAUUGCAGAAUUCAGUGAAUCAUCGAAUCUUUGAACGCACAUUGCGCCCCUUGGUAUUCCAUGGGGCAUGCCUGUUCGAGCGUCAUUUGUACCUUCAAGCUUUGCUUGGUGUUGGGUGUUAGUCCUUUCUCUUGCAGAGGGACUCGCCUUAAAGUAAUUGGCAGCCAGUGUUUUGGUUUUGAAGCGCAGCACAAGUCGCGAUUCAAAGCUAUACGCCAGCUUCCACAAGCCUUUUUCACUUUUGACCUCGGAUCAGGUAGGGAUACCCGCUGAACUUAAGCAUAUCAAUAAGCGGAGGA